Molecule: transfer RNA, 72 nt
Filed under: Marmota marmota marmota (Alpine marmot)
Lineage: Eukaryota; Metazoa; Chordata; Mammalia; Rodentia; Sciuridae
Also listed under: 3 other names
Rfam family: tRNA
About the family: Transfer RNA (tRNA) molecules are approximately 80 nucleotides in length.
Source: Rfam by way of RNAcentral
GGCACCAGGGCUCAAUGGUAGAGCAUUUGCCUGGCAAGCACAAGGUCCUAGAUUCAAUCCCCAGAGCUUCCA